Mytilus californianus (California mussel) is the source of this 2654-nucleotide RNA transcript. RefSeq lists it as uncharacterized. NCBI's taxonomy places the organism in Eukaryota, Metazoa, Mollusca, Bivalvia, Mytilida, Mytilidae. The transcript is spliced from 5 exons. The record is from RefSeq and is a predicted model, not a curated record.
AAAAACAGCAACAAAUAUGGCGUUGCUCUCCUUUCUCCGCAAUCUCCGCAAUCAAAACAAAAUGAAAAAAUUGCGAUAUUUAGUCAACGCUAAUCAUGUAUUACUACGACAGAAAUGUUCAUCGACAUGCACGAAUCAGAGAUGUGGUAUUAGUGAACCCAAAAAAUUAGACUUGAAAGAUGAAAUUGAAAACUACAUUAACAAUCACAAAUACACUUUGAUUGCUGCUACAGCUGAUGUUUGUAAACAAAAGUUUCAAGAACACUUGAUUGGAAAUACAUUAGGGGAAUCAUUUACUAGCAGUAGUAGUAUAUGGCAAUUUCCAUGGAAGAGAACUGAAAAAGAUAAACCAUUUAUAUAUGAAAAUUCAGAAAAUAUAUUUGCAAGAGGUUAUGAUGCACUUGAAGAUUAUUUACAUGGUGAAAAAGUUGACCAUCAGAUGUGCGCUGCUUUCACAGCACUAGAAAGAUUUUACACAAAUAAAGAACUCCAUGAAAGAAAUCUUGCUCAGCUAAACAGCAUGAACCUGACAAAGACAGAAACUGCAUCACUGAUAACUAGUCACCUUCUUUCCCAACUCCUUUUUAAUCCAGCAAAUCAUAUUAUAGAUUCAAACUUCUCUGAAGGCCCACCAUAUGACUGCCGCGCUCCAGUACAAUAUGGAUACACAAAUUUUGGAAGUACUCGACUUUUUCAUGGGAAUGCAGAUAUAACAUUGUUUCCAACAACCGAGGACAUGUUUUUGGAUUCUCAAACAGAUGCAGCUGUGUUUCAUAUUGGAGAGCCAGAAGAAAGUCCUGAUGCAAACAGAUUACACCCAAAAUGGAAUACUGUUGAUUAUGAUGAUAAUGAUGAAGAAGAAAAGAUUUGUGAUGCAAACAAUAGUGAAAACUUCAAUGAUUCAGACAUUAAUCAAGUGUGUAAACAAGCCAUCUCUUUAACAAUGUGGAAACAUAAACAAAGGAUCUUGGCCUACAGUGGAAACAAGGAUUAUGGUUCGUCAAUGGUUCCUAUCUGUGGUAUUAAUAGACACAAAUAUAUGGUGGUUCUGUAUAAUGCUCAGCAUGAUUAUCUAUUAAAAAUGCAAAAGAAAGACUUUUUAAAAGUUUUCGACAAGGAUAAACUAGAGUUUUCUACAAUUAUUAAUCUUUGGAUGUUAAUCCAUCAUAACUUAUUUUGCACAGAACCGUCUGAUAAUGCCAUCCAAAUCCUUAAAGGCGCUGGGGGCCUUCUACAAAGAUUAGGAGAAGACACAUUUAAAGAAGUUGUUAUAACUUCCAAAUUUUAUUAUGAUACAGAACCCAGUGGAGAUGAGUUUGAGGUAGACAUGGAGAAUGAUUCGAUUCCUGCUUCAGGUAGAAAAAGAAGCUUUAAGGUGCAUGUAAAAUGUAUGAAUUUUACAGAACAGGAAGAUUGAGGAAAUUUCAAAAGAUUAACCAGGAACAGUAAGAAGAAUGGGGCUCAUAGGUGUUAAGUACUGGAAGAACUGGUUUAAUGAGAAACUUGAUGAAAUGUACAGAACAUAAAAGAAAGACUGUGAUAGUGACUUUAUAAAUGAAGAAUAAUUAAGAUAUUGAAUAAUGAUUUUAGAUUAUUUGUUAGUUAUAUGGUUUGCUACUGAGGCAGUAAAAAUUGACUUUAAAGACUUGUAAAAUGUGAAGCAAAUGGUAAAGCAGUAGGGUCUAAAUAGUACUGAAAAUUUUAAAGUUACCCUACAUCUUCCUUAAUUGUCCAAACAAUGCUUUAGGUACAAGGACAGGUGUUCGAAAAUUAAAACACAUGUAAAAUUUUCAAAACAAGUCACCACAUUUUUGGUCCUCAAAAUGAUCUUCGACUUCAUACUUUCUUUGGCCUUUUUUACAUUUUUGAUUCAAGUCACUGAUGAGUCUUUUGUAGACGAAACACUUGUCUGGCAUACAAAAUUUCAAUCCUGGUAUCUAUGAUCAUGAUGAGGAAUUUAUUUAUAUUUGAUGAGAUUAUGUCAGAAACUAUAACAAAACUUGUAUAGUUGUUCUUUGGUUGGAAUUAAUGUUUCUACAAAGGAAAUAUGGAUGCACUACUUCAUUAAUUGUGUUACAAAGGAAAUAUGGAUAAACUACAUAAACUGUGCAGUUUUUGUCUUUUCAUGAAAGAGUGCAUAAGAUGACAAAACUACAUGAUAACAUAAAAAUAUUGUGUAAUUUAUUUAAAUGUCACAAUAUUUUUCACUUCUAAACAUGAUUUGCACAUUUAAUAUGGUUUUAAUUUUUGUUUUGAUUCUUGGGCUACAACUUCCUUUGAUGAAGUUUAUAGAGCAGAAAUGAAGGAUUUUGAUGUUGAUUUUAUGAUGAAUAUUUAAGAGAUUGAUGGUCAAUAUAUGCUGCUUAUGAUUAAUAGAAAGUCAAUACCGCUGUUCGUAAACUUUACAUCUUUGAGAAUAUCAUGCAUUAAGUUGCAGGUAUUUUGACAAACAUUUGAAUUAAUUUAGAACUCUUUGAUUUCGUAGUUCGUCUCUGACUGUUUCAGAUAUUAAAUCUAAUUUAAUUUGGUACAUGUUAAUCAAGACAACAAACCCAUUUUCUUUCUUAUUUUAAUCAACCAAUUAUAAUAUGUUAUUUGUAUGUAAUAAAUGCAUCUGCUUUUUUAAAAAUUAUUAAUAAAUCAUUUCAUCUUCA